UGAUAUUUGUGAAUUUUCUUAUUGUUUCUGUACUUUGUCAUGUCAUCUUUUUAAGAAGAUUAGUUUUCUCAAAUUGCCACGAGUCUUCUUGAGCUUUGCCACCAGUUAAACUUUAGGUUUUAUUAACUUUGCAUUUAUGAUGCUGAUAAAAAACAUCUUUGCAUUCAUUAUUUUCUUUGCUGUUAUUCUUUUUGCUACUCUUGUGGAGUCGGAGUUCUUGUAAUUGGGCCUUUGACUUUGAUGAUUUGAUUAUCUUCUACUUGUGUUGUACUGAACUUUGAGCUUUGCCAUGAGACUUCUUGAGCUUUGCCAUGAGUCUUCGUGAGCUGCCAUGAGUCUUUGUGAGCUGCCAUGAGUCUUCUUGUGCUUUGCCAUGAGUCUUUGUGAGCUGCCAUGAGUCUUUGUGAGCUGCCAUGAGUCUUCUUGAGCUUUGCCAUGAGUCUUCUUGUGCUUUGCCAUGAGUCUUCUUGAGCUUUGCCAUGAGUCUUCUUCAGCUUUGCCAUGAGACUUCUUGAGCUUCGUCACGAGACUUCUUGAGCUUUGCCAUGAGUCUUCGUGAGCUUUGCCAUGAGUCUUCUUGAGCUUUGCCAUGAAUCUUCUUGAGCUUUUACAUGAAGGAUGUAGGGUUCAGGUUUUGGAAACAGUGGAUGGAGAUACAGUUAAAGUUUAGGUUUUAUUAUCUUUGCAUUCAUUAUUUUCGUUGUUGUUAUUCUUUUUGCUACUCUUGUGGAGUGGGAGUUCUUGUAAUUGGGCCUUUGACUUUGAUGAUUUGAUUAUCUUCUACUUGUGUUGUAGUGAACUUUGAGCUUUGCCAUGAUUCUUCUUGAGCUUUGCCAUGAGACUUGUUGAGCUUUGCAAUGAGACUUGUUGAGCUUUUACAUGAAGGAUGUAGGGGUCAGGUUUUGGAAACAGCGGAUGGAGAUACAGUUAAAGUUUAGGUUUUAUUAUCUUUACAUUUAUUAUGCUGAUAAAAAAAAAAUUGCAUUCAUUAUUUUCUUUGCUGUUAUUCUUUUUGCUACUCUUGUGGAGCGGGAGUUCUUGUAAUUGGGCCUUUGACUUUGAUGAUCUGAUUAUCUUUUUCUAUUUGUGUUGGAAUGAACACUUACCAUGGAUGUUUGUUGGACAUAUUGUGAAGCUUCAGGUUUUAUUACUUUUCUACUCACUAUUUUUCUUAUUUGCUCGAUUUGGAAUGUCUACAGUUUCUCUUAUUGGCUGGAUAGUUGGAAGGUAUUUCAUUGUAUGUAUCUAAGCAAGAGUGAUGCGUCUAGGUCCUCCAUCAUCUACCGUUAUUGAUUAUAGUUUUCUUGAAUUCAUUGGCCUUACAGGAAAGCUAAGCAAUGAAGUGUGGUGUAGGAUGUAAAAAUGGUGGGUCGAAAUUCUGUGGUGAAGCUAAAUGUUUCUUUCACCAGGACAUUGUUGUGUUCAACUGAUUUAAUUUUUAACUGGCUCAACUUGUCGGUUUGAUUAUAAUCUUGUUUGUAACUUGUUGGUUUGAUUAUAAUCUUGGUUGUAUUUUGAUAAUGUAUGUUUCUAAGAGGCAUUGUGGGAUGAGAAUGAGACAAGUACAGUUGAACUUUACUCUUUGAUUUGAUGGUUUGCUUCUUGGUUUGAAAAGUUCUACUAUUUAAUUUUGAUGACUUCUCUGCAUAAUUCUAUAAUAUAGGUCUUUUGUUCUAUAUAGGUCUUUUGUUCUUUUAAUAAUUUUCCAAAACCUUUCGAUUCAUUAUUCUUGAUCCCGAACAUAUGGGUUGAGUUGUGAACUUCUUUGGACUUUUUGCAUGUAACUCUUACGCUGAAAUUAGUAUAAGAAUGAUCCUGAAAUUGAAAUUGUUUAAAUGCUUCACUUUUGUUUCAACAAUCUCCAUAUGUGUUUCUCGUUCCUUGAGUUUUGAAAUUUGCAUUUAUUUGUUUGCAACACAUUGAGUCUUUAUCUGAGGUUUCUCUUUCAGUUGAUUAACUCAACCAGUGAUGGAAUAUAGUGGGACGACUAACAUGUCUAUUCAAGCAGUUAUAGAUUUUUUUUCUUUUUUUUCCUUUAUUGUUUAUUGAGUUGAGUGUUUUCAAAAUAUUUCUGUAGCCACUUGGGAUUGAAAGUCCAACGUUAUGCCUGACAUUGGAUAAUUGGACUUCUUUUAUUAGUUUUCCAAACCGUUCAUUUUUUUCAUAUUUGUUCUAUUUGGACAGGAAUUGUAGGUGAGAAAGAUAAUGGAGUUUUGGAGGUGAAUUUGUUUAAUAUUUGUUCUAUUUGGACAGGAAUUGUAUGUGAAAAAGAUAAUGAAGUUUUGGAGGUGAAUUUGUUAAUUCCAGUGAAAACGACGAAGAACUCUUGAUAAAGUAAUUUUCUUUGUUAUUAUAUUUCUCUACCCAAUCCAGGUGUUGCAUUAAUCCCUUUGCAGCAUACAGAACUGUAACCGAUCUUAAGUUUGUAUGCAACGAUGUUUUUGGAAAUUUUGUGUCACAAACUUAUUAUUAGGAGACUACGACUUCCUUGGUUUUAUCUGAUCAUUCUGGACUUGCUAUCUUCUUCUGUGGGUUUUGGUUAGGUUUCAAUUUUCAGUAAUGUCUGGUAUGUUGACAGUAUUGGAUUUCCUUGUUUGCAUUUCAAAAACUGAACCAAUCUCAAGGCAUUACGCUUCUAUAGUUGGAGUAGUAUGAGACAACUUUGUUUCUCUGAAAUUUAGAGAGUCUCUUUAAUAUUGCAUGGUAAUUUUUUUAUACGAUGUACAAGUAUAUCCAGUUUUAUUUGGAUAUUUUUUAGCAACAAUGCUUUUGGAAUAGGAUUUGUUUGAGCGCUACCAUGAGAAAGUUCAAUUUGAAACGACAACCACUCAUAAUAGCCUAAUUUCUUCUAUAUGAGGUUUCCCCUUUUAUUUAACUUCUAAGGAAUUGAUUACCAACAUUAGGAUUGAAUUGUGAUUUGUUUUUCUACAGUGGUUUAUGAUUGUAUUCAAACAAUGUUUGGAUCUCAUCGAACCUUUAAUGAGUUGAUUUCUGAGUUUAAGAAUUCGUCUAAUAUUUUCUAAAAUUCCUCCCAUGGAACAAGUGUUUUAAGUUUUCUUGAAUUUUUUCUAUUUACCGGUAAGACAAGCAAUGGAUGUGUGAGGACAUGUAGAAACAUGCGGAUCAAUUAAAGCCUUAGUUUGUGUUAAUUCGUGACUAGCUAUUUGAAUGCAGUUUUUUAUGUGGUGACAAAGAUCUAUCAAAAUAAAAAAAUUGGUUUAGGAUUUCCUCUCUAUUUGAUAUUUUCAGAUUUGAUCACCAAAUAUAAGGAUUUUCCGUUACCAUUUGUUUUUCUGCAGUGAUGUUUGCAUUAUGUUUCAUGCUACGUCUAAUGGAUCAUGUUGUCUGGAAGGUUUUAUGGCUCUUGGUAACAGGCUUUACAAGUGCUUCAGAGGAUCAGUAGUUUCAGAGCUGAUACCUAUUAUCAUAAUUGUGUCUCGCAGUGUGAAUUGUUCAAGUUUAUUUAUUUGCAAAAGGGAUCAGUUCUCCAAUAAUUUUUGCAGAAGAUUGGAUGGCUAACAUUAUUGUUCGUUCAUUUGAUCCAGUAAGAGCUCAUUCUAGAAAUGUGGACUUCUCUUUAAAAGCCUUUAGUAUGUUUACUAUCUUCAAAAGAUAUUUUUUCUGGAUCUAUUGUUUUGACAGAGCAGGUCUUCGAGGAAGUCACGGGUCUCUUAGAUUUGGAAUUGUUCAAGUACCAUCAACAUGAUUUCAUGAUCUCUUAUGAUUUCCCCUGAAUUUUUGGUUGUUGUUUUGACAGGGUAGGGUUUGGGUAGAGUUUGGGUUUUUGGAUUAGGAAUUGUCCAACUACCAACAAUGUGUAAACCCUAAACCCUAAACCCUAAAUAUAUAUAUAUAUAUAUAUUUUUGCUAGUUUUAUUUUUCAUUGAAUUACUUAAUUGCUUUAUUAAUAUGAUCAUUUGAUUAUAAAAUUAUUCUUGGUAGUUAUAUAAUUAUUCAUGGUUGUUUUAUUACCUUUAAUAGUUAUUGUUGUUGGAAAAGUAAUCUAGAAGUCCUUUGUUGGCUAAUGAUUCUCUAACAUUUUUUUUUUAAAUUUCAUAGUAGUUGUAUUUUGCUUUGACAAUUUAGUUUAGUUUUUUUAUUGAUUCCUGCAUCGACAAAUGAAUUUUGAACUUGUUCUUGCAUAAUUUAUCAUGGGAUAAAAUGAAUUGGUGGUGUAGGUUUGGAAAACAGUGGAUCUGGACCCUGUGGAACUUUGGUUUUAUUCUGUGUUUAUUAUUUUCUUUGAUGCUAUUAUGCACGGAUAAACUUGUGGACUGGGAAUGCUUACCUCUUUAUGACAGGCAUUGUAAACGUCUGUGUCAGCCAUUUAAUUUUCUCUUUCUAGUUCACACUCAGACAUUUCUUUCAGCAACUGAGUCAUUUAAUCGCAAAGAGAGUUUUGUUUCCUUUCAUGUUCUUUGUUGUCAAUACAACCUUUGUUUCUUUCUUAUCAGCUAUAGUAUUUAAUUCAAUGCGAUCUCAGGAUGUGUUACUUGGAAGUGAUGUGGUUAUUCAUUCGAGGAUUGAUGUGUUAUUUGGAAGUGAGGUGAGGCUAUCUGAAUACCGGAAGGAGAUCCAUUCUCUUUGAUGACAGAUGCCUACUUGAGUUUGGAUGUAGUUAUUUAUUUGAUGACAGAGAUCUAUCAUAUGUAACUUUCUGUUAGUUCCUUUUCAACAGGGGAUUCUGGUUGAGGAUUAAAAAACAUAAAUUUGAAUAUUGUUUUUGUCUAAUUAUUGAAAUAUGACAAAUCUAGCGGUUUGAUAUGUGAAUAUGUUGAUUCUUUUUCAGCAAAUCAUAGGUUAGUAACAAUAAAAUGCUCAGGGAAGAUGUCUCCCCUCUAUUUGAAACUUUGUGGAUUGAGCGUAUUUUUCCAGACUGAUAUGUGAGGUAGGAUGUGGAAACACUUACCAGGACAUUUGUGAAGCUUUAGGUUUUGUUACCCUUACCAUUCUUGUGUCUUUAUUUGUGACUGACUAAACUUCUUGUUUGGAUUCUAAGUUUUGGUUGGAUUCAUUGCUAACCUUGUAGUUUGACUGGCAGUCUGGCAAUUCUUGUGGGUUUAGAGGUCGUGUAAUUUGGGGAGGACUUGUCUGGCAGAAUUUUUAACUACUUAUAUGAAGUACUGAAUUAAUAGUGAAAAAAAGAUAAAAAAAAUAUAUCAUGGCUAUUAAAAGUUUAUGUUUCUUGUCCUGUUCAGCCAUGACACUUGUGUGAACACUUGCUUCUUUCUCUAUUGCCCCAUAUGCAUUUUUUUCACAAUUUUUACUCUUUUUUAAGUUAUCCAUUUCUAAGUAAUUUAGGCUUCUCGUAGCUUUUACCAGUCCUGGAUUCAUAGUGAAAUUUGAACCUUUUACAUGGUGCAAUUGAAAUUAAGGAGUGAAUUAUUGAUCUUUAGUUUUACAGUACUGAAUUAAUUUUGGAUUUGCUUUGGUGUAGCAAAUUUGAAAGGUCAUUUUCUUAGUUAUUACUUCAUUUACUAAAUAAUCAAGAGCAUUGGACAAUUUGAUUUUGUAGUGUUUUGUUUGCUGCAUUGACAAAUGAAUCUUGCAUUGUAUUGUUUUUAAUAGUUCUGGAUUACAUUCUGAAUAUGACAUAUGAUGAUCUCUUCUAUCUUCCAAUAUGAGAAUGAUCUGCAACAUUAGAGUUGUAUUUAGUUCUAUCUCCAAAGGGAGAAUGAGAAAUUGAGAGCUCUAUUUAGUUUUAUCUCCAAUUAUCUCUAAUAUGAGAAUGAGAAACAACAGUAGUUGGAAUGUUUUCUGGCAAUCUUCCUGUGCUAUGAUUCAGUUCUCUCUCCAUAUAUGAGAAUAAGAAAAUGAGAAAGAGAAACAAGAUUAUUUGGAAUGUUUUUUGUCGUAAUCUUCUUGCACUAUGAUUCGGUUCUCUCCCAAUAUGCGAAUGAGAAACAACAAUAUUUGGAAAGUUGUCAUAAUCUUCUUGCGUUAUAUGAUUCGGUUCUGUCCCCAAUAUGCGAAUGAGAAGAUGAGAAACAACAGUAUAUGAGAGCUCCAUUUAGUUCUAUCUCCAAAUGAGAAACAACAGUACAUGAGAGUUCUAUUUAGUUUUAUCUCUAAUAUGAUAAAGAAGCGAAACAAAAGUAUUUGGAUUGUUCUCUUUGUAAUCUUCGUGUGCUAUGAGCAACGCCUCCCCUCGAGGCUAUGGUAACGGGUGAUGCCUCUCUAUUCCAACAUGAGAUCUCUAUAUAUUAUGUGGAAGCAGACACCAUCUUUUUGUCGUCUAUAUUUCUCAGCUCUUGCUGAUUUUGCCGUGCUGUUUUCUUGAUUUACCAUGCUUUUUUUUAUCAGCAAAGAAUGAAAUUAAAUUAAGAGGGAUACAAAAGGGGUAUCUCAACUCUUUUACAUAAACCAAACCACAUUAAGAAUCUCCAAGAAUAAAGAGAUGAAUAAACACCACAGAAGCAAUAGAUAGAUAAUGUUUGUUGCAUAAGUUAAACAUCCUAUUUCAGCUAGCACCGUGCUUGUAUUGGAAUGCUAUAAGCACUGCAAACUGCAGCUACAAAACCAUCAAAAUACACCAAAAUUGGUUGUCUCCACCACCUCAUUGACAUUCCUUCUACCCAACUUGCAGUGGCACGAUUGUAGCACUUGUCACAGAAUUAAUCACUUCAAUGCAGCAUCUUCCAUUCACUCCUUUUUGGACUUUGGCUUCUCCUUGUUUGCUCCUUUCAAGCUCACUUUUAACAGAAACCAAGUUCCUACUUGCCAAGGUCUAUCUCGCACUUAGAUUGGUUGGAGUUUACAACUUCGAGUUACAUCCCCCAACAUGUCUGAAUCCCCACCACAACCUCUACUGCUACCAUCUACAUGUGAGACCACUAGUUGAUCAGCAAACACACUUAGGGAUUUCCACAACAACCAAAACACCACAUAAAAAAACACAGUUUUUGUUUCCUGCAUAAAGAACCCUGAACCAGCAUACACCUUGCCUCUAUUGGUCUGUUAUAAGACACAUCAAAACAGAAUCUUUCAUCAUGUCCUUAACAUUCCUUUUGACUCCCUUGCAUACAAGCACAUAUGUCCUUUCCAUCUUGCACUAGCUGCAGGCCGUGACAAACCCACCAACACCUCCAACCAACUAUAAAUCCAGUAUAGGUCGUAGUCUUAAAACUCUUGGCACCUGGGAGUACUAAUUAUAACUUCUAAUGCAAAGCAUUGGAUUAAGAAUCCAGUCUACGAAAGAAUAAGUAAAGAAAUGCACCUUGUGUUUCAUCCAAAGCCAGGAUUUGAGUUGAGCCUUCUGAAACACCUCCUCCGCAUCUACUAGCCCUUUUUUGAAUACAAUCAGGUUCCUUUGGUCCCAGAUACACCUAAUAACAGAUGCCCAAACACCUUUCCAUACCAGGUUUUGCUUCUUACUAGCAUUGCUCAGAUAAAAACUCAUAAAGUGCAUAAUUAAAUCAUUUUGUUGAACAGAAGAGAUACCUAUCCAUUUGAAGCACAAGGACCAUACCCAUUGUGCGUAUUUACACUCCAAGAAGAUAUGUUGACAAGACUCCUCCUUAAGCUGACACAUUGCACAUAACGUAGAUUCCAUCAUUACCCCUCUCCUACUCAAACUCACCCUUGUUGGGAUUCUAUCCAACAACACUCUCCAAGCUGUCACGAUCACAUUUGGGAAUGCCUUAGUCUUCCAAAGGAGAUUAAACACAUCGGAUUGGGUUCCACGAGACUGCUUGGCAAGGCACUCAUAAGCAGAAUUCACAGAAAAAAAAGGGCUGGUUCUUCCUUCCCCCACACCUGCACAUCCACGUCAUUCCUUCUCAUUAGUGCCCCUGAUAACAGUGUAAAGAGGUCUGCUUCCAGUGAUGAUUCCCACUCAAAUCUGGCACGCCUCCAUGUCAGCCUCCAUCUCCAAUCCGAAUUAAUCCACACGCCAACUUCACCCACCGUUUGCCCCUGUUUUAAGGAUAGGGAGAACAGUCUUGGAAACAAGGAUUUGAGAUCAGAGCUCCCAACCCACACCUCCUCCCAUAACUUUACUUUGUCUCCACACCCUAGUUUUCAGCUUAGUUCUUCUUGAAACCAUCAUUUUCCUCCUCCCUCCUUGCACACUUUAAAGAGAUCUUUCCACCACCAAGAUUUUCAGCUUAGUUCUUCUUGAAACCAUCAUUAGUCCAAUUUUAAUACAUGAUAUGACAAAUGGAUUGAAUUAUGAUAUUGUCUCCUUGAAGCUUGAAUUUAUGAUCGUGUCUCUGUGCGCUGUGAUCUUAGUCACAUUGGUGGUAUAGACAAAUUGAAAAGAAGGAUCUUGGAGUCAUUCCUUUCAUUUUAGUAGUGGUAAUUACCAAGAGCUCAAGACUAUUUGACUUCAAUUUUUUCAUUACAAAACUUUAUUUUGUCUUUAUUAGUUUCUUUCAUUGAGAAAUGAAUUUUGAACUUGGGUUCUUGCAAAGCAUCAAUGUUCUUGCCUAAUUUGUGUUGCAAGAUUAUUGAUCUUUUGUAUUGGAGUUCCAAAAAUUAUAGUCUACUCAAGACUAAUUUCAUGAGUCUUGACUUUGCUAUUCUUAUUCGGAAGGUUUGUACUAUGUAUGUUUUGUCUUUUCUGAUUUAAAGUGUUUUUCCUUGUUUUUAUUUGUGUGGUUCAGACUGAAUAAAUGAGAUACCGAUUUUCUUGUUCUCCUCAUGUUACAUCAACCAUUUUAUUGCUACUUUUAUUCAUUUGCAAAGGCUCAGGAUAAUAUUAUUUCUUCAGAUUUCUAUGUACUUGAUAGUAAAUUUUUAGGUGUUGCAUAGCGCCUGGUAUGACUUUCUCUAUUGGUUUUUCAUUCUUGAAUUUAUGAAUUCAUCUUGUCUAGAUUCUAUACUUCUAUUAAGAGGACCUGGUAUGACUUUCUCUAUUCCUAACAAAAAAAACUUUUGUCCUCAAAAUUACCUAAAAAAAUAAUUAGGAUAUGAUUCACUUGUCUUCUUUUUCAUCUCCCGCAUAUAAGAUCUCACAACACUUUGACCUUUCACAACACUUUGGCCUUGUUUACACUUUCAUUUCAAAAGAUGGAUUUUCUCUUACAUGAAUUAAAUCAAAUUUUGUGUGACUAACUUUCCUUUUGUUGUAUACCAAGUUAACCAUCCAAUCUAUUUUUCCUCAAUCUUAAACACACAAUUUAGGUUAGUCUUAUGUUUUUCAAGCUUCUAGAAUAAUAUUUUUGCAUAAAGGUUAUUGUCAAAAAUGUCUAAGACGAUGUUGAUGUAAUCAAACUUCACGAUCCAUGACUUGACUUGUUAUAAGAACUAUAUAAACAUAUGCAUGAUAUAAAUCAAUAUCAAUAUAGAAAUCUUUCCAUGUUUAUUGGAAAGAUUACCUUUAAUUUUUAAUGGACAUGAUAUGAUACUAACCUUUCUAACUCAUUUUGUUUUUUUUUAACAAUAUUCUUAAAUUCAAAAAAAUGUGUAAUUAUAUUACUCACCUAACUCUAACUCAUUUUGUUUUUUUCUUAACAAUAUUCUCAAAUUAAAAAAGUGUGCAAUUAUAUUACUCACCUAACUGUUGCGUCUCAAAAAAUGUAUUGUAUGUUUCAACACUAGAAUAUUAAUUGUAAAAUUGACUUGCAAUGCGACCAAGUUUGGUAAAAUAAAAGUUAUUUUUUUCAUUGAAAUGCAUCAUUUUUUUCCAACACUAGUCUUUUUAGGACUAAAAGUAGGAUUUGCCAUUGCUUCAUUUCUCCAAAGGAUUCAUCCUCAUCUUUAUAAAAAGAUAAAUAUACUCCAAUCAAGCGUAAACUUCUUUAACAUUAGUUACAUACCUCUUUCACCACUUUUAUCAAACUAAUGUCUUCUUUUUGGUCAAUUAUCCACAUAACAUCAAGCAUACCAUUCAUUUUCAUAUAAAAAUAUUUAGUUUUAUUUGUUUUUAAUAGGUUUAAAUAUUUUUAAAAUUUGAAUCAACCAAUUGCUUCUCUUUCACUUCUUUUAGAAACUUGUUAAGCAUAUGACAAAUAAUAUGAGUUGAAGAUAUAGGAAUUUCUAAAUCCUACAUUCUAAAUUCUAAAUCUUUAAUCAUAGGUGUUGACACUUGUGUCUUCUCAUGAAUUGAAGCAUAUGUAGCAACAUUUCCUAUCUUAGGAUGGUACCUCAACAAAAAAUUGUAAUCUUUCAAAAACUCCAUCAAUUUUCUAUUAUCUACUUUCGUUAUUUGUAGGAUAGGAAACUAAUUGUAUAAUAACACUAUUUCAUUUCGACUUAGCCACGUUCAACUAUUGUAAUUUUCUCCUAAGUCUUUGAAGUUUCACUUCAUGAUAGUAAAAAAUAUAUUUAACCACGUCUCUUUUUAUGUUCAACUAUUAAAAAACUUGUGUAGUACUGAUAUAUAUUAGUUGUGUCUAAUGCAAAUAUAUUUAUUUUAUAAUUUUUAUACUAUAUCAUUUUCUCCAACUUAUUAUUUGUCGAUACACAAACUUUAUCUUGAACCUCAGAAUUUCAUUUACUUUCAUUACGAGAUCCUUAGCUGUUUUUGUACUUAACACUUAAUUAACUUAAGUUUUCGACCAUCACAAUCAACCAAGAUUAUCGAACUUGAUAGUUUAGUAAACUUGUGAAAGGCUUGUAAACUCAACUUGUAGACUCGUAAGAGUCUUGUUCAUAUAAAAUAUUGACAAAAAAAUAUUUAUGAUACCAAUUUCACAUUAUUAAAAUAAAAAAAUUCAUACAACAACAAAUUUAUUAAGACUUUGACUUCUUUUGUUACUGAAACACAAGGUUCAAAAUCAUAUAUCUUCAAAAUCAUAUAUCUUCCCAACAAAAUGAUGUUUGAAUGUGAAAAAUGUCUCCAUUAAAUAAUAAUUAUAUUUCACUUUUUUAUUGUUAUCUAAAACAUAUCUUCGGUGUUUCCAUCCAAUUUACGCAACAUUUUUAUUUCUAGAUGGAAGUGAUAAAGAUGUACCGACACACACUACCAAUUGCAACCAUUUCCCAACAUAAUAAUUAUUUUAACUUUAUUUUUUAACCACACUAAAAAAGACAAAAUCUUGAUAAAAAAUUAAACUAAUUUUUAGAAUUAAGAUAAAAAAUUAUCUUGAUUUAAUCAUGAAUGUGCAUCACUUUUUUUAGAUUUUUUCUUUUUCAAUAAUUUUAUCUUCAUUCAUUAUAAUAUAAACACAAUCUCAAAAUUUUUUUUUGAACUUUCAACUAAAAAACUUUAGUUAUCUUUAAAGUAGACAUAAACAAAUAUAUGCACAUGCAAAAAUAACCCACUACUAUGGAUGACAAAGUCAGGCAGGUCAACUCAUUAAGAAAGAACGCAGCGGAUGUCCUAUUUCAACUUGGGCUGAUUCUCCCUACACCCAAUCAAAUUGGACCUGUACCCAAUUGCAUUUGUGAAAGUACCGAAAUACCCUUAAUGAAAAUGAAAUUAGGGUUUAGUGAUUUCUGCACCCAAUCACACACCCAAGUUCGUUUAUGCCAUCCUCAUACUCAACAUCAUCUCUCGCACGAGCGUCCGCAUCCUCGCACCUUGGUUGGCAUUUCUCUGGCAGUGUAGUGUUGAGUGGAAGGACCCCUUGAACAAAGACGAAGCUAGGAGCGCGAAGGUCGUCCAUUGUUGCGCGAAGGUUUUAGGGCAUCAUAUGCAUCAGCGCACCCUACAAGCUUUUUCAAAAUAAACAUGACAAUGGUACAAUUGGAUUUUAGAAUGUUUUUCGGGUGCCAAUCACAAUUGAUUGGGUGCAGGAAGAAAUUGCUUUCAACUUGUUGACUUGCUUAGGCUCACCUCGCAUAAUCCGCAGUCCGCACGGGCCAAGUACAAGACGGGACAGGCUAACUCACAACCAACAUAUUUUAAAAAAUUAGACAUUUUUUUGCACCCCAUAAUUUUUUUUUUUAGCCUCAUAAUCUCAAAAAAUUUAAACUAUUCAUUCUAAAUUUUAUAAUCAGUAAUACAAAUUUGUAUUAUAAAGUGUACAAUCUAGAAUGUUGUACAAUCUUAAACCAAAUUUUAACUCUUAGAUUCUAUAACCCUAGAAGUCUCUAAAUUUCACAUUCCGAAAUUAAAGAUAAAACAUUCAACAAAAAAUGUCAAAGGAUAAUUAUAAUAUUUUUUGAAGUAUGGGGUGUAGUAAGUAGGGGUGGCAAUGCGGGCUGGCUCGCCCCGCAUUUGAUUCCCAAUGAGUGCGAUUUCAUUUCAAUGACCACCCCGCAUAAGAGGUAACCGACGGGCCUGAGGGCCAAUCCGCAUAAGAAAAAUAUUUAUUUUCAAAAAUUAAAAUUUCAUCAAAUAUAAAAAAAUUUAUUCUUACUAUGGAAAAAUUACAAUUUUAUACAUGUUUCAAUUCGUUCAAUUAAGAUAAAGUUAUAAAUUCAAGUGUGAGGAUUGUUAGAAGGUUUGAUUAAAAUUAACUAAAGUUUUAUUUUUUGCAUAUAUUUUUCCUAUAUAUGUAUGUGAAUGUAUAAGAAUACCUUAUCAAAGUUUUGUUAUAAAAUAUUUUAAUGAAGAUGACUAAUUUUUUUAACUAUCCUAUUUAAAUCUCUUUUUUUAUAUUUUUUUUAUUAACAAAUUUAAAAUAUAAGAUUUACUUAAAAUCAAAUCCAAUGUCACUCUUCAUACUAACUCCAUGGCUCAACUAAAGACCUGGUCCUGGGUAACCUAUAAAAUUCAUUUUGCUUAUUUUUCCUUUUGUGACUGGUGUUUGGAUCCCUGUUUAAUUAAACAUAAGUGUUUUAUUUAGGUUGGUUAGACUCUAUUUGUUCUAGUAGGAAGUUAGUGAUAAACUUCCCAAAUGAGGGUUGUUAGUUUUUGUGUGAUUUUGUACAUGAGUUUGGAUCACUCAUAAAGUGGUUCUUAUUUAUUUAUUUUUAUUGUUGAUAAAAAAAAACUAACUCCUUUAAAUGAUUAAAAUAAAAUAUUUUUUUUAGUAGAUUAAAUUCAAUUUUUUAAAAUAAAAUAAAUAAAUGUUGCACUACAAGGGUGAAUGAGGUAUGAUUUUUUUUUACAAAAAAUAAAAUAAUAUUUUUUCAUUUAUACGGGUCAACCUGCCCCGCUCCGUUAUUGGUCCGCUCUGGGAGUUAUGCGGGGCAGGUCUAAGCAGGUCAGCAGGGUAGAUUAGUGAGCUCGCCCUGCGCCUUUUAGUAGCGGGUUGCGGGCUGACCCGCCCUACAUUGUCAUCCCUGGCAAUAAGAAAGACAUGGAGGUGCAGGAAGAAACUAUCCUCAAUCCCUAGUUCAUAACACCUUCAUGAAAUUUGAUAAUAGUCUUUUUUUCCUUUUUAAAAUGCAUAAAUUUUAUAGGUUUCAAUAUUCAUCAAAUGUUAAAUGCAUUAGUCAGAUUUUGGCCUUUUUAUAAUAAAAUUUAAAUAUAUAAUAAUAUUAUUAUAUAUAUAUAUAUAUAUUAUUUUUUAAAUUAAAAUAAUAAUCAUGUAUCUACAUGUAUUGUCUUUAAAAAUAUAUAUAUUUAAAGAAAUAUUUAUUAGUCAAUUUAUUAUAAUUUUUUUAUCCAUAUUUUAUUACAUAUGUCGUGAGAAUAAUAUUAUGAAACUAUUUACCUAAAUCAUCUAAAUAAGAAAAAAAUUAUUUUAAUAAACAAAACAAAAUUUUAUUCAAAAUUUAUAUUUAAUUUUUUUCAUUAAUUAAAAAAAAUCUUAUGUGGAUCGGCUUGUGGGUUAGCUAGCAUGCGAGGCGGGCCAAUAAAAGCAACCCGUAUAUUUUACGCGGUACGAACCAACGUAGCCUGCAUUUUGUGGGCCAAAUGCGAGGCAAACGGACCUGCAUUGCCAUCCAUACGCACUACCCUCAUGUUAUCCUAAGGUCGAACAACUCUGAUACCAUAAAUGUAACACCCCCAAUAUUUACUAUACACUUAUUACAAAGUUUAUUGUAAUAUAAUUUUAUUACAAUAAACGUAUUCAAGAACUACAUAAACCAUACAUGGAUUUAUAUAUCAAGGAUAUUUAAUCCAUUUCUGCUCAGGCUAAAAUAUUCCCGCUCAAGUUGACAAAAACUUCUUUCUUUUAUUUUAUUUUUCUUCUUGUCUCAUCAAUGAAUUGGAUUCUUUAGCAAAAAACUUUGCUUGAACAAAAAUAGUGCUAAAAACAAGUUUGAGUGCUUGGUUAUUUUCGCUUGAGCAAAAAUUGGCUUGCUUGAGAAAAAUAUCAAAAAAAUCAACUAUUACAAUAAUACAUAGUCAUUUUUAAAGUUGUACCUUAAAAGCAAUUCAAACUCAAACAUUAAAAAUAUGUUCAACAACACACAACAUCAAAUAGAACAUCAAGUGAUCACAUCACUCUUUAAUUUAGGUUAUUCUGCUAAGGCUCUACCAAAAAUAUAAUUAUUUUUUCUUAUGUGAAAUUCCUUAUUUCAAGAAAAAAAAUCUACCUCAAACAAAAGAACCACUCAAAAUUUAAAGCUCUAAAGCAAAAUAUCCAAACUUAAUUAAAUUUUAAUAUAAGGUUAAUCAAGUUGAUGAUCGCUUUUGACAACUAAUUUUACCAAGAUGGAUGACAAAAUUAGAAGAAAAUAAAAAAAAUAGAGAAUAUUUAGGAUAAAUAAGAACUUAUCCUGUUUUGAAAAUCUAAUUGGAUAAAAAUGAUUUCUAACUCUUUAGCUAUUGUAGGGUGUGAUGAAAAUUUGAAAUAAAUGAAGUGUAAAAAAAGAAAAGUAUAAAGAAAAGGAAAGAAGAAAGAAAAGAAAAAAAAAGAAUAUUAGGAUAUAAUUUCUUAUCUUCUCUUCCAUAUUUGAAGUGGAAUUAUCGUAUAUGAAAUGUUAAAAAAAUGACUACAUUUAUAUUUCUAUUAUGAAAUUGUUUUAUUUGAAAAUAUAUUUUCUUUUACUUACACUGAAUUAUAUUCUAAAUUAUAAUUGAAUUGUGUAUAUAUUUGUUAGUUGCAAUAAAUAAAAAAUAUUAUAAUAAAAGAGAUCAAACAUCUUAUUAAUUUUUAUGUAAUAGAAACUAUUCUCUUUGAAAAUAUGGAAAUAAGAAAGAAAGUGGAGGCAUGAAAGGGAUUUACUUACAAUUAUUCUCAACAACAAAAUAUUUUAUCAUUCAAAAAUUACAUUAUUUAGAAAAAAGAUUAGGAUAUAAUUUUUUUUAUAUUCUCUUUCAUUUAUGAGAUGAAGUGGAAUUAUCGUAUAUAAAAUCUUAAAAAGCUGACUAUAUUUAUAUUUUUAUCAAAUAAGAAUUAAAAAACAGACUUUCCUUAAAAAAUAUAUUUUUCUUUUACUGAAUUAUAUUCUAAAUUAUAAUUAAAUUGUGUAUAUAUUUUUGUAGUUGCAAUAAAUAAAAAAUAUUAUGAGUGUUGACUAAUAGAGAGAUAAAACAAAUUCUUAUUAAUUUUUAUAUUAAAUUGUCUUUUCUACACUCUAAGAAAAACAUACUUACUAAAGUAUGAAGUUAAAGUUGUUCUUAUUUCAUCUGUAUAAAUUUUUUGCCGACUAAAACUGUUUUGAACUUUCACUACAAUUUUGAAAUUUGGAUUUACAAUUAAUAAUAACAGAUGAAAAUUUAUUAAAAGAUCACCAUUAUUUAAAAAUAAAAAUUAUUUGUUUUAAAAUAUAAAAAAAUCGAUUGAACUUAUAAUAUAUAACUAUUUAUAUUAAAAGUUUUUUUUUUCUGUAAAUUAUUUUUAGAAAUUAUGCUAUUAAUUAUUGGUGAGAUCAUAGACUUUUUCCCUUAAAAAAAUCAAAAUAAAACAUUAAGUGUGGAUGACAAUAACUUUUGUACAGCUACAUUAUAUAAUAUUAAUAGCUUUCCUUGACAAUUUGAUUAUUACCCAUCGCAUAUAACUUUAGUUUUAUUAAUCAAACUAUUUAUUUAUGACUUAAUUUAAAUAAACAUUCUCAUGAAAAAAAAUUAAUAUUAAAGUUAUAGUAUCUAAAAUAAUGUUUAGAGAAUCACGGUCUAAAGAAAACUAUAUUUUCAAUUUUCUUUUACCAUGUCAAUCGAAUAAAUUAAUUAAUUAAGUCUUCUAUUAAACUAAUAAAAUUCUAUAUAGAAAAAUUAUAAAUUAUUUAUUUAAAAUUUACAUAUCUUCUCACAUUAAAAUAUGUGAACAAUUUAUUUUAUUAUAAUUGAUUCACAUAAGCUAAAUAAUAAUAAUAAAAGUUAAGAAAAAAUGUAACUAUAUUUAAAUUUCCAUACAUAAUAUACUAAUAAACUAUUUAUUAUAUUAUAUAUUUUCCCGUUAAGUGAGUUGGCGCCCAAAAUCCUCUCUCAAUAUAAAGACAGUAACAGUGAACUAAAGAAACACAACAGAACUAAAUUUCUAAUUUUCUCUCCCUUCGAUUACGAGUUCAAGCGACUCGAGAACAUUCGCCGCAACGUUGAGGUGAUGGCAGCGCUCAAACUCCAUUCUAAAGCCACCCACAACUCUCCAAAGGUACUCUUCUCUCUUCUGUAACUUACCAUUUUUUUGGAAAUCUCCAGAGUUUCUCCAGAGGUGAAACUGAAACCCCGAUUGAAAUAUUAUGUUUUGGUCAAUAUCCAAGAUCAGUUUUGUUGGUAUUGCUUUGGUGAUUUUGUUUUGUUGGUGUUGCUUUGGUUAUUGUCGUGAUUCUCUAUAAGGAUUUGUGGAAUUACAUGAUGUUUUCGUCAUGGGAUAGAAGAGUUAUUAAGAAUUAUUAGCAAGUGAUCAAUGUGCUUUUAUCGGAUUGUGAUUCAUUUACGCCGAAUGUGAUUCUUUGUGAUGAUGGCGAGUUUUAAAUCUUUUGAUCAAAUCUUUUUUGUCUAUGGAUGAAAUGAAAAACAUAAUAGUUCAGAAAGGCCAAUUGAUCCAAGUCUUCUUUUAAUCUCCUUUCUAUUAUUUAAUUUAUAUGGUAUUGAUCACCGAAAAUAAGGAUUGGAUUAUGAUUUGUUUAUUAGUGUUUAUCUGCAUCUGCAUCUUUAUCAUUUUUCUACACUUCUUUUUAGUAAGAGCUUAUUUCGUUUUCUUGAAUUUUUGGCUGUACAGCUAAUUCGUUUCUUGAAUUUUUGGGCUGUAUAGGGAAGGCACGCAAUGGAUGUGUGGUGUAGUGUAAGACAUGAUGUGAAGUAUUAUGUUUUGUUACCCUAAUUUCAGUCUGCUUGAUCUCCAAGGAUUGAAUGGUGUUCCAUGUUGAAUUUUUUCUACUUGAUUUCCAAGGAUUGAAUUGUGUUUGAUGUUUGAAUUAUUUUCACUUAAUGUCCUGCAGUAUCUCAUGGAGUAUGUUAUAUAAGGCCUAAGGGUUGAAUCAUCUUUUAAUUUCUUCUAUGUGUUGAACUGGAGUUGAUCACCGAACAUUAAGAUUUUAAUUGUGAUUUGUUUCUCUGCAGCAGGGUUUUGUUUAGUUUUGUGUGAUGACCUGUAUCUCAUCGUGCCUGUUAUGAGCAACUAAGGCUCCACCGGUUUUGAAUUCAUUAAUUUAUCUUAUCCUUUCUUAAAUUCUUCCCAUGAUGUGUCGAGCCUAUAAGUGGCUCCCUUGGUUUUGAAUUUGUGGCCUCCCUUGGUUUUGAAAUUUUGAAUUUACCUUAACCUUUCUAUACUAUGUCAUGUCAUCUCUUUAAAAGAGAAUAGUUUUCUCGAAUCUCCAUGAUUCUUGUUCAGCUUUUAUUGGAAGGCAAUAUAUAUGUGGGCAGGUUUCAGAAACAGUAAAUGGAGGUCGUGUGAAACUUUAGGUUUUUAUUAUCUUUGCGGUUAUUCUUUUGGCUAAACUUGUGGAGUGGGGUUCUUGUAGACAGGCACUAUAUGACUAUGAGAGGCUUUGACAUUUGUGUUUGUGUCUUCGACUUUGAUUAUCUUCUUCUACGUGUUGCAGUGUCUUUCUACAUGUUGCACUGACUUGCUAUGGAUGUCUGUUGGAUUGUGGAGACAAUUGCGGUAGAUUAUUGGACUUACUGUGAAGCUUUAGGUUUUAUUAUGUUUUCAUUCACUAUCUUAUGUGCUUGAUUUGAAAUGGCUGUAUUCUCUCUUAUUGGUUGAAUAGUAGGAAGCUACACGUGUCAGUCACUGUGUGUCUAAGCUAGGGCGAUUCUUAAUUAUGCUUAUCCUUUAUCUCAUGAUCCCAACUAUCUUCCAAAAUGAGAAUGUUCUCCAUAAUGACAGUAAUAUUUAGUUAUAUUUCCAAUAUGAGAAUGAAAAACUAUCUCUCAAAGCUAUGAGAGACCAAUUCCAAAAGGAAAGCUCCAACAUGAGAGCUCUAUUUACUUCUUUCGGGUUGGGGUCUCAGUAUUUGUGAUAGGAUAUGGAAGCAGACUGUAUCUUAUUUCUAACUAUAUUUCUCAAUCUUAGUCCCUUGCUGAUUUUGGUCUUUAUUAUUUAAUGUUUUUGGACUUGAUCACUUAACAUAUGGGCUGAAUUGUUGUUUAUCUACAAUAGUAUUUCAAAGUAUUUUUGUAAUCUUCUUCGUGCUCUUGGUUUUGAAUGGUGGCUUCCCUUGAUAUUUUAGAUUAGUGAAUUUAUCUUAUUGUUUCUUUACUUUGUCAUGUCAUCUUUUUAAGAAGAUUAGUUUUCUCAAAUCGCCAUGAGUCUUACUUGAGCUUUGUCACGAGUCUUAUUGAACUUUGCCACGAGAAUUCUUGAGCUUUGCAACGAGUAUUCUUGACCUUUUACAUGAAGGAUGCAACGGUCAGGUUUUGGAAAUAGUGGAUGGAGAUACAUUUAAACUUAGGUUUUAUUAUCUUUGCAUUUAUUAUGCUGAUAAAAAAACAUCUUUGCAUUCAUUAUUUUCUUUGUUGUUAUUCUUUUUGCUACUCUUGUGGAGUCGGAGUUCUUGUAAUUGGCCAUUUUACUUGUGUUGUAGUGAACUUUGAGCUUCGCCAUGAGUCUUCUUGACCUUUGCCAUGAGUCUUAUUGAGCUUUGCCACGUGUUUUCUUGAGCUUUGCCAUAAGACUUCUUGAGCUUUGCCAUGAGUCUUAUUGAGCUUUGCCACGUGUUUUCUUGUGCUUUGCCAUAAGACUUCUUGAGCUUUUCCAUGAGUCUUCUUGAGCUUUGCCAUGAGACUUCUUCAGCUUUGCCAUCAGUCUUCUUGUGCUUUGCCACGAGUUGUUCUUGUGCUUUGCCAUCAGGAGUCUUCUUGAGCUUUGCCAUGAGACUUAUUGAGCUUUGCCAUGAGUCUUCGUGAGCUGCCAUGAGUCUUCUUGAGCUUUGCCACGAGUCUUGUUGUGCUUUGCCAUGAGACUUCUUGAGCUUUGCCAUGAGUCUUGUUGUGCUUUGCCAUGAGACUUCUUGAUCUUUGCCAUGAGUCUUGUUCAGCUUUGCCACGAGUCUUCGUGAGCUUUGCCAUGAGUCUUCUUGAGCUUUGCCAUGAGUCUUCUUGUGCUUUGCCAUAAGUCUUCUUGAGCUUUGCCACGAAUCUUCUUGAGCUUUGAGCUUUGCCACGAAUCUUCUUGAGCUUUUACAUGAAGGAUGUAGGGUUCAGGUUUUGGAAACAGCGGAUGGAGUUACAGUUAAAGUUUAGGUUUUAUUAUCUUUGCAUUCAUUAUGCUGAUAAAAAAAAUCUUUGCAUUCAUUAUUUUCUUUGUUGUUAUUCUUUUUGCUACUCUUGUGGAGUGGGAGUUCUUGUAAUUGGGCCUUUGACUUUGAUGAUUUGAUUAUCUUCUAGUUGUGUUGUAGUGAACUUUGAGCUUUGCCAUGAGUCUUCUUGAGCUUUGCCAUGAGUCUUCUUGAGCUUUUCCAUGAGACUUGUUGAGCUUUGCCUUGAGACUUGAUGAGCUUUGCCAUGAGUCUUCUUGAGCUUUUACAUGAAGGAUGUAGGGGUCAGGUUUUGGAAACAGCGGAUGGAGAUACAGUUAAAGUUUAGGUUUUAUUAUAUCUGCAUUUAUUAUGCUGAUAAAAAAAUUCUUUGCAUUCAUUAUUUUCUUUGCUGUUAUUCUUUUUCUACUCUUGUGGAGUGGGAGUUCUUGUAAUUGUGCCUUUGACUUUGAUGAUCUGAUUAUCUUUUUCUACUUGUGUUGCAAUGAACACUUACCAUGGAUGUUUGUUGGACAUAUUGUGAAGCUUCGGGUUUUAUUACUUUUCUACUCACUAUUUUUCUUAUGUGCUCGAUAUGGAAUGUCUAAAGUUUUUCUUAUUGGCUGGAUAGUUGGAAGGUAUUGUAUGUAUCAAAGCAAGAGCGAUACGUCUAGGUCCUCCAUCAUGUACCCUUAUUGAUUAUAGUUUUCUUGAAUUCAUUGGCCUUACACGAAAGCUAAGCAAUGAAGUGUGGUGUAGGAUGUAAAAAUGGUGGGUGGAAAUUCUUUGAUCGGUGAAGCUAAAUCUUUUUUUCACCAGGACAUUGUUGUGUUCAUCUGAAUUAAUUUUUAACUGGCUCAACUUGUGGGUUUGAUUAUAAUCUUGGUUGUAACUUGUUGGUUUGAUUAUAAUCUUGGUUGUAUUUUGAUAAUGUAUGGUUCUAAGAGGAAUUGUGGGAUGAGCAUGAAACAAGUGCGGUUGGGCUUUACUCUUUGAUUUGAUGGUUUGCUUCUUGGUUUGAGAAGUUCUUUCUACUAUUUAAUUUUGAUGACUUCUCUGCAUAAUUCUAUAAUAUAGGUCUUUUGUUCUAUAUAGGUCUUUUGUUCUUUUAAUAGUUUUCCAAAACCUUUCGAUUCAUUAUUCUUGAUCCCAAACUUAUGGGUUGAGUGAACUUCUUUGGAAUUUUUGCACGCUGAAAUUUUUGAAAUUAGUAUAAGAAUGAUCCUGAAAUUGAAAUUAUUUAAAUGCUUCAGUUUUGUUUCAGCAAUCUUCAUAUGUGUUUCUCGUUCCUCGAUUUUUGAAAUUUGCAUUUAUUUGUUUGCAACACAUUGAGUCUUUAUCUGAGGUUUUUCUUUCAGUUUAUUAACUCAACCAGUGAUGGAAUAUAGUGGGACGACUAACAUGUCUAAUCAACCAGUUAUAGAUUUUUUUUCUUUUUUUUCUUUAUUGUUUAUUGAGUUCAGUGUUUUCAAAAUAUUUCUGUAAGCACUUGGGAUUGAAAGUCCAACGUUAUGCCUGACAUUAGAUAAUUGGACUUCUUUUAUUAGUUAUCCAAAUGAAUUUGUUUCAUAUUUGUUCUAUUUGGACAGGAAUUGUAUGAAGAAAGAUAAUGGAGUUUUGGAGGUAAAUUUGUUUCAUAUUUGUUCUAUUUGGACAGGAAUUGUAUGCGAGAAAGAUUAUGAAGUUUUGGAGGUGAAUUUGUUAAUUCCAGUCAAAACGACGAAGAAAUCUUGAUAAAGUAGUUGUCCUUGUUAUUCUAUUUCUCUACCCAAUCCAGGUGUUGCAUUAAUCCCUUUUCAGCAUACAGAACUGUGAUCGAUCUUAAGUUUGUAUGCAACGACGUUUUUGAAAAUUUUGUGUCACAGACUUAUUAUUAGGACUUAUUACCUUGAUUUUAUCUGAUCAUUUUGGACUUGGUAUCCUCUUUUGUGGGUUUUGGUUUGGUUUCAAUUUUCAGUAAUGUCUGAUAAGUUGGCAGUAUUGGAUUUCCUUGUUUGCAUAUCAGAAACUGAACCAAUCUCAAGGCAUUAAGUUUUUAUAGUUGGAGUAGUAUGAGACAACUUUGUUUCUCUGAAAUUUAGAUAGUCUGUUUAAUAUUGCAUGGUAGGUUUUUUAUACUAUGUACAAGUAUAUCCAGUUUUAUUUGGAUAUUUUUUAGGAACAAUGCUUUUGGAAUAGGAUUGUUUGAGUGCUACCAUGGGAAAGUUCAACUUGAAACGACAACAACUCAUAAUAGCCUAAUUUCUUCUCUAUGAGGUUUCACCAUUUAUUUUACUUCUAAGGACUUGAGCACCAACAUUAGGAUUGAAUUGUGAUUUGUUUUUCUACAGUGGUUUAUGAUUGGAUUCAAUCAAUGUCUGGAUCUCAUCGAGCCUUUAAUGAGAUUGUUUCUGAGUUUAAGAAAACGUCUAAUAUUUUCUAAAAUUCCUCCCUUGGAACAAGUGUUUUUAGUUUUCUUGAAUUUUUGCUCUUUAUAGGUAAGACAAGCAAAGGAUGUGAGGACAUGUAGAAACAUGGGGAUCAAUUGAAGCCUUAGUUUGUGUUAAUUCGUGACUAGUUAUUUGAGUGCAGUUUUUUUAUUUGGUGACAAAGAUCUAUCAAAAUAAAAAAAUUAGUUUAAGAUUUCCUCUCUAUUUGAUAUUUUCAGAUUUGAUCACCAAAUGUAAGGAUUUUCUGUCGUCAUUUGUUUUUCUACAGUGAUGUUUGCAUUAUGUUUCAUGCUACGUCUAAUGGAUCAUGUUAUCUGGAAGUUUUUAUGGCUCUUGGUAACAGGCUUUACAAGGGUUUUCAGAGGAUCAGUAAUUUUAGAGGUGAUACCUAUUAUCAUAAUUGUGUGUUGCAGUGUGAAUUGUUCAAGUUUAUUCAUCUGCAAAAGGAAUCAGUUCUUCAUUCAUCUUUGCAGAAGAUUAGAUGGCUUGUUCAAGUUUAUUCAUUUGCAAAAGGGAUCAGUUCUUCAUUCAUCUUUGAAGAAGAUUAGAUGGCUAACUUUAUUGUCCGUUCAUUUGAUCCAGUAAGAGCCCAUUCUAGAAAUGUGGACUUCUCUUUUUUGUUCAUUUUUAGAUUUGGAAUUGUUUAAGUACCAACAACAUGAUUUCAUGGUCUCUUAUGAUUUCUCCUGAAUUCUUAGUUGUUGUCCUACUACCAACCAUGUGUGUAAAAGUUUGAAAUAUACGUUGUGGAUAUUUUCUAGGGAUAUAUAUAUAUAUAUAUAUAUAUAUAUAUAUAUAUUUAGUUGCUAGUUUUAUUUUUGAUUGAAUUACAUAAAUGAUUUAUUAAUAUGAUUAUUUGAUUAUAUCAGAGUUGUAGUGCUUUUUAUAAAAUUGUUCUUGGUAGUUAUGUAAUUGUUCAUGGUUGUUUUAUUACCUUUAAUAGUUAUUGUUUUUGGAAAAAUAAUCUAGAAGUCCUUUGUUGGCUUUUGAUUCUCUAACAUUUUUUUUUUAAUUUUAUAGUAGUUGUAUAUUGCUUUGACAAUUUAGUUUAGUUUUUUUAAUUGACUCUGAUUGUUAAUUAAAUAUUUAUUUACAUUAGAAUGUUGAUGAUGUAAAUGAUUUCUUUUAAUGUUGAUUAUGAUUCUAUUUUAUAAAAUAUUGUGUUAUGGUAAUCAUUAAUUAAUUGCUUUGUAUGCACUCAUUUAUCAUAUUGUUGUAUGACAAAUCUUAAAGCUCCCUAAGAGAAAGGUUCAUGGGUUGCUGUGUGGAAAGUUCUAAAACACGCUCAAUAUAGUAAAUUAUGGAUCAUGUGCUUUUACGGAAGAAUUAUUAAUAAAUUGAAGUACAUGAAUUCUUAGUAUAAUUCUCUAGUUGAUGAUGACGAGUUUUUAACCUUUCGCUUAAAUUUCUUUGCACCUUUUAAGCUUAUGGCUGGUUCACUGAUAUUUCUUUUGCCUUUGGAUGAUAUGAAAACCCCAACAGCCAAGGGCUAAGCAUAACGGAAGUCUUUUGAGUUUCCCUUUUAUUAUUUUUUUUUCUGGUAUUGAUGACCGAACAUAAGGAUUGAACUAUGAUGUGUUUAUCUGCAGUGGUGUUCGGAUUAGUUGGGUAUAUUCGCAUUAUCAAGUUUCUAUACUUCCUCUUAGCAAGAGCGGUUAUUGUUUCCUUCAAUUUUUUGACUGUAAAGGGUUUAUCGUUUCCUUCAAUAAAAUUUGAUAUUCGUGUUCAUUCCUUUUCAGCAAGUCAAGAGUCUCUGAGAUUUCUUUUGGCGGUUGAGGAACAAGAUGGUUUUACAGGAUAUUCUAAUUUCUCUAUACUUGAUCACCAACAUUGAAUAGUGAUUUGUUCUUAUGCAGUAAACAUAAAGAUUUAUUUUUGAUUUGUUUCUCUACAGCAAUGUUUUGAUUUUUUCGUAUCUAAUAGUUCUUUAUUACUAGUUAUAGUUCUGUUAAUUUCUCUAGCAAGAGCUCAGGACUAUUUGGAUUCAAUUUUUUUAUAACAAAACUUUAUUUUGUCUUUAAUAGUUUCCUUCAUUGACAAAUAAAUUUUGAACUCGGUUCUAGCAAAGCAUCAAUGUCUUUGCCUAAUUUGUGUUUCAAGAUUAUUGAUCUUUCGUAUUGAAGUUCUGAAAAUUAUAUUUUUUUCUUAGGUGGAGAAGUAUUGAAAAGAUGGAUCUUGAAGUUAUUCCUUUCAUUUUAGUAGUGUAACUAGCAAGAGCUCAAGAUUAUUUGCCGCCAUUCUUUGAUUACAGAAGUUUUUAUUUUGUUUGUUUCUUGCAUUGACAAAUGAAUUUUGAACUUGUUCUUGGAUAAUUUAUCUUUGGGAGAAAAUGAAUUGGUGGUGUAGGUUUGGGAAACAGUGGAUCAGGACACCCUGUGGAAAUUUAGGUUUUAUUAUGUGUUUAUUAUUUUCUUUGCUGCUAUUAUUCAUGGAUAAACUUGUGGAUUGGGAAUGCUUACCUCUUUAUGACAGGCACCGUAAAUGUCUGUGUCAGCCAUUUAAUUUUCUCUUUCUAGUCCACAGACAUUUCUUUCAGCAACUGAGUCAUUUAAUCGCAAAGAGAGUUUUGUUGCCUUUCAUGUUCUUUGUUGUCAAAACAACCUUGUUUCUUUUUUAUCAGCUAUAGUAUUUAGUUUCACUGCGAUCUCGGGAUGUGUUAUUUGGAAGUGAUGUGGUUACUCAUUUAAGGAUUGACGUGUUAUUUGGAAGUGAGGUGGUUAUUCAUUCGAGGAUUGAAUUCCAUUCCCUUUGACUUGCAUUGUUUGUGUUCAUUGCUAUCAAACAACUUUCUUCAUUUUAAAUGUAUGGAGUCUAUUUUUUUAAGAUGAAAUCCCCACUAAAUGUUUAUGUUUUAUUUUUUCUUUCUUUUUCAUCAUCUCCUAGUUAUUUGUGUUUCUCAUAGGCUUGGUCUCAUCCCUUCGACUUGCAUAUGUUUGUGUUCAUUGCUAUUGAACAACUUUCUUUUUUGCCAUUAGUCUUCUGGAGCUUUGCCAUGAGACUUCUUGAGUUUUGCCGUGAGACUUCUUGAGUUUUGCCGUGAGACUUCUUGAGCUUUGUCACAAGUCUUCUUGAGCUUUGCCACGAGUCUUCUUGAGCUCUGCCAUGAGUCUUCUUGAGCUCGGCAAUGAGUUUUCUUGAGCUUUGUCGUGAAGAAUGUAGGGGUCAGGUUUUGGAAACCGUGGAUGGAGAUGCAGUUAAAGUUUCGGUUUUAUUAUCUUUGCAUUUAUUAUGCUGAUAAAAAAAAUCUUUGCAUUCAUUAUUUUCUUUUUUGAUAUUCUUUUUGCUACUCUGGUGGAGUGGGAGUUCUUGUAAUUGGACCUUUGACUUUGAUGAUUUGAUUAUCUUCUACUUGUGUUGUAGAGAAUUUUGAGCUUUGCCAUUAGUCUUCUUGAGCUUUGCCAUGAGUCUUCUUGAUCUCUGCCUUGAGCCUUCUUGAACUCUGCCAUGAGUCUUCUUGAGCUUUGCCAUGAAUCUUCUUGAGCUUUGUCAUGAAUCUUCUUGAGCUUUUACAUGAAGGAUGUAGGGGUCAGGUUUUGGAAAUAGUGGAUGGAGAUACAGUUAAAGUUUAGGUUUUAUUAUCUUUGCAUUUAUUAUGCUGAUAAAAAAAAUCUUUGCAUUCAUUAUUUUCUUUGCUCCUAUUCUUUUUGCUACUCUUGUGGAGUGGGAGUUUUUGUAAUUGGGCCUUUGACUUUGAUGAUCUGAUUAUCUUCUUCUACUUGUGUUGCAAUGAACACUUACCAUGGAUGUUUGUUGGACAUAUUGUGAAGCUUCAGGUUUUAUUACUUUUCCACUCACUAUUUUUCUUAUGUGCUCGAUUUGGAAUGUGUACAGUUUCUCUUAUUUGUUGGAUAGUUGGAAGGUAUUUCAUUGUAUUGUAUGUAUCUAAGCAAGAGCAAUACUUCUAGGUCCUCCAUCAUCUAACCAUAUUGAUUAUAGUUUUCUUGAAUUCAUUGGCCUAAAAGGAAAGCUAAGCAAUGAAGUUUGGUGUAGGAUGUAAAAAUGGUUGGUGGAAAUUCUGUGAUCAGUGAAGCUAAAUGUUUCUCUCAUUAGGACAUUGUUGUGUUUAACUGAAUUAAUUUUUAACUGGCUAAACUUGUUGGUUUGAUUAUAAUCUUGGUUGUAUUUUGAUGGUGUAUGGUUCUAAGAGGCAUUGUGGGAUUAGCAUGAGACAAGUGUGGUUGGGCUUUACUCUUUUAUUUGAUGGUUUGCUUCUUGGUUUGGAAAGUUCUACUAUUUAAUUUUGAUGACUUCUCUGCAUAAUUCUAUAAUAUAGGUCUGUUGUUCUUUUAAUAGUUUUCCAAAACCUUUUGAUUCAUUAUUCUUGAUCCCAAACAUAGAAUUUUUGCAUGUAAUCUCGUGUGAUCCUAGACAACAAUGUCUCUUACUAUGAUGACGGACAUCAAUGUCUCUUACGCUGAAAUUUUUGAAAUUAGUAUAAGAAUGAUCCUGAAAUUGAAAUUGUUUAAAUGCUUCACUUUUGUUUCAACAAUCUCAUGUGUUUCUCGUUCCUUGAGUUUUGAAAUUUGCAUUUAUUUGUUUGCAACACAUUGAGUCUUUAUUUGAGGUUUCUCUUUCAGUUCAUUAACUCAGCAAGUGAUGGAAUAUAGUGGGACGACUAACAUGUUUAAUCAACCAGUUAUAGAUUUUUUUCUUUUUUUCCUUUAUUGUUUAUUGAGUUGAGUGCUUUGAAAAUAUUUCUGUAACCAAUUGGGAUUGAAAGUCCAGCGUUAUGCCUGGCAUUAGAUAAUUGGACUUCUUUUAUUAGUUAUCCAAACCGUUCAUUUUUUUCAUAUUUGUUCUAUUUGGACAGGAAUUGUAUGCGAGAGAGAUAAUGAAGUUUUGGAGGUGAAUUUGUUAAUUUCAGUUACGACUAUGGAGGAAUUGUAUUUUGGAGGUGAAUUUGUGAAUUUGUAUGAGACAACUUUGUUUCUCUGAAAUUUAGAGAGCCUCUUUAAUAUUGCAUGGUAGUUUUUUUAUACGAUAUACAAGUAUAUCCAGUUUUAUUUGGAUAUUUUUUAGCAACAAUGCUUUUGGAAUAGGAUUUGUUUGAGCGCUACCAUGAGAAAGUUCAACUUGAAACGACAACAACUCAUAAUAGCCUAAUUCCUUCUAUAUGAGGUUUCACCUUUUAUUUAACUUCUAAGGACUUGAUUACCAACAUUAGGAUUGAAUUGUGAUUUGUUUUUCUACAGUGGUUUAUGAUUGUCUUCAAACAAUGUUUGGAUCUCAUCGAGCCAGUUGGUUUCUGAGUUAAGAAUUUUUCUAAUAUUUUCUAAAAUUCCUCCCCUGAAACAAGUGUUUUUAGUUUUCUUGAAUUUUUGCUCUUUACAGAUAAGACAAGCAAUGGAUGUGUGACGACAUGUAGAAACAUGGGGAUCAAUUAAAGCCUUAGUUUGUCUUAAUUGGUGACUAGUUAUUUGAAUGCAGUUUUAUAUGUGGUGACAAUGAUCUAUCAAAAUAAAAAAAUUGGUUUAGGAUUUCCUCUCUAUUUGAUAUUUUCAGAUUUGAUCACCAAAUAUAAGGAUUUUCUGUUGCCAUUUGUUUCUCUGCAGUGAUGUUUGCAUUAUGGCUUUACAAGUCUUUCAGAGGAUCAGUAGUUUCAGAGGUGAAUUGUGUGUUGCAGUGUAAAUUGUUCAAGUUUAUUUAUUUGCAAAAGGGAUCAAUUCUCCAUUCAUUUUUGCAGAAGAUUAGAUGGCUAACAUUAUUGUUCGUUCAUUUGAUCCAGUAAGAGCUCAUUCUAGAAAUGUGGACUUCUCUUUAAAAGCCUUUGGUAUUUUAACUAUCUUCAAAAGAUAUUUUUUCUGGAUCUAUUGUUUUGACAGAGCAGGUCUUCGAGGAAGACACGAGUGUUGUUGAUUUUUAGAUUUGGAAUUGUUCAAGUACCAACAACAUGAUUUCAUGAUCUCUUAUGAUUUCCCCUGAAUUCUUGGUUGUUGUUUUGCCAGGGUAGGGUCUGGGUAGAUUUGGGUUUUUGGAUUCGGAAUUGUCCAACUACCAACAAUGUGUGUACAGGUUUGAAAUAGAUGAUGUGUUUGUCAGAUAUUUUCUAGGGAUAUAUAUAUAUAUAUAUAUAUAUAUAUAUAUAUAUUUAGUUGCUAGUUUUAUUUUUCAUUCAAUUACUUAAUUGCUUUAUUACUAUGAUCAUUUGAUUAUAAAAUUAUUCUUGGUAGUUAUAUAAUUAUUCAUGGUUGUUAGAUUACCUUUAAUAGUUACUGUUGUUGGAAAUAUAAUCUAGAAGUCCUUUGUUGGCUAAUGAUUCUCUAACAUUUUUUUUAAUUUUAUGGUAGUUGUAUUUUGCUUUGACAAUUUAGUUUAGUUUUUUUUAUUAACUCUGAUUGUUUCCAGCAUCGACACAUGAAUUUUGAACUUGUUCUUGCAUAAUUUAUCAUGGGAGAAAAUGAAUUGGUGGUGUAGGUUUGGGAAACAGUGGAUCAAGACCCUAUGGAAAUUUGGGUUUUAUUCUGUGUUUAUUAUUUUCUUUGCUGCUAUUAUUCACGGAUAAACUUGUGGACUGGGAAUGCUUACCUCUUUAUGACAGGCACUGUAAAUGUCUGUGUCAGCCAUUUAAUUUUCUCUUUCUAGUCCGCACUCAGACAUUUCUUUCAGCAACCAGUCAUUUAAUCGGAAAGAGAGUUUUGUUUCCUUUCAUGUUCUUUGUUGUCAAAACAACCUUUGUUUCUUUCUUAUCAGCUAUAGUAUUUAAUUCACUGCGAUCUCAGGAUGUGUUAUUUGGAAGUGAUGUGGUUAUUCAUUCGAGGAUUGAUGUGUUAUUUGGAAGUGAGGUGGUUAUUCAUUCGAGGAUUGAGUUUCAUUCCCUUUGACUUGCAUUUUUUUGUGUUCAUAGCUAUCAAACAACUUUCUUCCUUUGAAAUGUAUGGAGUCUAUUUUUUUAAGAUGAAAUCCCCUCUAAAUGUUAAUGUUUUAUUUUUUUUCUUUCUUUUUCAUCAUUUCCUAGUUAUUUGUGUUUCUCAUAGGCUUGGUCUCAUCCCUUCGACUUGCAUUUGUUUGUGUUCAUUGCUAUUAAACAACAUUUUUUUUAAAUGUAUGGAGUCUUUUUUGUUACGUCUAGAGAUGUUGAUUUGCUUGUUUUCAUUCCGUUUUAGGUGUUGAUUUGUUUGCGUUCAUUCCUUUUUAGGUGUUGAUUUGUUUGUGUUCAUUCCUUUUUAGCAUUUGGAGGCCUCAAGAAUGGUUGAGGAUUAAAAUCUGGAAGUGUUUAGAACGACCAAUAAUUCAGGAUAACCUAAUUUCAUUAGUUUCCUUUCCAUUUGAUUUCUUGAGAUUUGAUCACGAAGAAUAAGGAUUGAAUUGUCAUUUGUUUUUAUGAUGUCUUUCUUUGUUUUGAAUGUCUUAUUGUCUCUAUACUUCAACUCUAUGAGCCGUUGUAGCCUUCCUGAAUUCUUGGGGUGUACAGUACAGGACAAACAUGCAACAGAUGUUACGUAGGACAGAUGUGAGUAUCCUUAAAGCUCUAGGUUUUGGUAUCCACACAUAUUUUUGUCUUUAAUUGGGACUGGCUAUUUGAAUUUCUCUGGUUUUUGAAUUCCUUCAAUUCAUCUUAUGCUUUCUUAACUUCUUGGUCUUUAUUACCAAUAUCUAUUUUUAUUUAAAUAUAGUUCUUAAAUUUUUUAUGUCUAGGUGUUGAUUCGUUUGUGUUCAUUUCUUUUUAGCAUGUAAGACUGGUUAAGGAUUAAAAUCUGCUAGUGUACACGAAAAACAAGCCACGGAUGUGAGGUAGGAUAUCUAAAUACUGGAAGGAGAUGCUUGAUUCUGUAGGUUAUCCAUAAUCUUUGAUGACAGAUGCUUACUUGAGUUUGGAUGUAGUUAUUUAUUUGAUGAAAGAGAUCUAUCAUAUGUAACUUUGUGUUAGUUCCUUUUCAGCAGGGGAUUCUGGUUGAGGAUUAAAAAACAUAAAUUUGAAUAUUGAUUUUGUUUGAUUAUUGAAAUAUGACAAAUCUAGCUGUUUGAUCUUUGAAUAUGUUGAUUCUUUUUAGCAAAUCAUAGGUUAGUAAUAAUAAAAUGCUCAGGGAAGAUGUCUCCCCUUUACUUGAAACAUUGUAGAUAGAGCAUAUUUUUCCAGACUGAUAUGCGAGGUAGGGUGUGGAAACACUUCCCAGGGGAUUUGUGAAGCUUUAGGUUGUUACCUGUUAGAUAUUAUUAGAUAUUAUUAGAUAUUAUUAGAUAUUAUUAGAUAUAAUUAGAUAUUAUUUGAUAUUAUGAGAUAUUAUAGAUAUUGUUAGAUAUCUCAUAUUUAUGUAAUGGGCUUAGCCCAUAUGUUUCUUUUCCUAUAUAAACAUAACCCUAUGUGUUCAAUAUACACAAGGGAUUUACCCUAUUCUUUCUUUUCCUUUAAUAUUACCCUUACCAUUCUUGUGUCUUUAUUUGUGACUGACUAAACUUCUUGUUUGGAUUCUAAGUUUUGGUUGGAUUCAUUGCUAACAUUGUAGUUUGACUGGCAGUCUGGCAGUUCUUGUGGGUUUAGAGGUCGUGUAAUACUCUCUUUUUUAAGUUGUCCAUUUCUAAGUAAUUUAGGCUUCUCUUAGCUUUUACCAGUCCUGGAUUCAUAGUGAAAUUUGACCCUUUUACAUGGUGCAAUUGAAAUUAAGGAGAGAAUUAUUGAUCUUUAGUUUUCUAGUACUGAAUUAAUUUUGGAUUUGUUUUGGUGUAGCAAAUCUGAAAGGUCAUUUUCUUAGUUAUUACUUCAUUUACUAAAUAAUCAAGAGCAUUGGACAAUUUGAUUUUGUAGUGUUUUGUUUGCUGCAUUGACAAAUGAAUCUUGCAUUCUAUUGUUUUUAGGAGUUUUAGAUUACAUCCUGAAUAUGACAUGAUGAUCUCUUCUAUCUUCCAAAAUGAGAAUGAUCUGCAACAUUAGAGUUGUAUUUAGUUCUAUGUCCAAUGUGAGAAUGAGAAAAUUAAGAGCUCUAUUUAGUUUUAUCUCCAAUUAUCUCUAAUAUGAGAAUGAGAAACAACAGUAGUUGGAAUGUUUUCUUGCAAUCUUCCUGUGCUAUGAUUUAGUUCUCUCUCCAUAUAUGAGAAUAAGAAAAUGAGAAAGAGAAACAAGAUUAUUUGGAAUGUUUUGUAGUAAUCUUCUUGCACUAUGAUUCGGUUCUCUCCCAAUAUGCGAAUGAGAAACAACAAUAUUUGGAAAGUUUUGUCGUAAUCUUCUUGUGCUAUGAUUCGGUUCUGUCCCCAAUAUGCGAAUGAGAAGAUGAGAAACAACAGCUUAUGAGAGCUCCAUUUGGUUCUAUCUCCAAUAUGAGAAUGAGAAACAACAGUACAUGAGAGUUCUAUUUAGUUUUAUCUCUAAUACGAUAAAGAAGAGAAACAAAAGCAUUUGGAUUGUUCUCUUUGUAAUCUUCGUGUGCUAUGAGCAACGCCUCCCCUCGAGGCUAUGGUUACGGGUGAUGCCUCUCUAUUCCAACAUGAGAGCUCUAUAUAUUUUUUUGGGGUGGGGUCUCAAUUUAUGAUACCAUGUGGAAGCAGACACCAUAUUUUUGCCGUCUAUAUUUCUCAGCUCUUGCUGAUUUUGCCAUGCUGAACUUAGUUUUCUUGAAUUGCCAUUCUUCUUAAAUUUUUACAGUAAAGCAAUAGAUAUGUGGGGGCAGGUUUUGGAAACAUUGUAUGGAGAUCUGGUGAAACUUUAGAUUUUAUUAUCUUUGCAUAUUCAUCAUUUUCUUUGAUGGCUAAACUUGUGGAUUGGGAGUUCUUGUAAACAGGCACUAUGUGAGUUUGAGAGGCUUUGGCAAUUGUGUUGUUAGGCCUUCGAUCCUGGUGAUUUGAUAAUCUGUUGCAGUGAAGACUUUAUGGAUGUCUGUUACCCAAAUUACGGUACAUUAUUGGACUUACAUUUCCAUUUCACUAUUUUUUUUAUAUCCUUGAUUUGGUUGUGGUAUCUCUUAUUGGUUGAAUAGUGGGAAGGCACAUGUGAAUCUUAUGAUGUAUUGCCUUUAAUAGUUUUUGCUGUUGGAAAAAUAAUCUAGAAGUCCUUUCUUAGCAAAUUAUUCUCAUUAUUGUAGAAAUUCUAUAACAUUUAUUCAGGUUUUACUUUCUACAAUUAGUUUAUUUUUAUCCACUCCGAUAACUAAUUAAAUAUUUACUUUCUCUAGAAAGUAGACUAUGUGAUUGAUAUAUUUUAAUGUUAUUCAUAAAUUAGUUCUUUAUAUUAAUCAUUACAAAAAUGUUUGGUAUACACUCAUAUUUAUCAUAUUGCCUUCAAGUAGAAAGGUAUUUGUAUAGGGCAAUUGCUUCCUCCCCCAAUCAAUUUUGACUAGCAUUCAAUAGAAGUUUUAAAACUUCAUUAUGCCUUUUUCACGGCUUACGAAUGCCAAUAUCCAAAAGUGACAUAUUUGCCUAUGGAUAUUGCCAUUUGGAAGUGAUAGUUUUGCCUACGGAUAUUAACAUUCGAAAGUGUCAGUUUUGCCUACGGAUAUUGACAUUUGGAAGUGUCAGUUUUGCCUACGGACAUUGGCAUCUGGAACUGGCACUCUUUGAUUGCGUUCAUUUUUAUCCGAAAGGCACUAUCAUUUUUCUUAAUAUACAUAUCAGGAAGCCAAUCAUCCUUAACUUUUUUUUUUGGCAGUGUAAUGAUUUUGUUACUUUUAAUGGAUUAAAACCACUAAACCGAACCAAUUUAAAGAAUAAAAGUAAAAUCAACAUUAAAAUUUGUUACUUGCUUUUUAUUAUAAAAUAUUUAUAUUAUCAUUUAUAUAUUUUCAAAUGCAUUAACCAUUGAUGACAUAUAGAACAUUGUUGAGAGUAGAAAAAAAGCACCCAAUAAACACAUUUUGGAUUUUCAAAAUGGGACCUGAUGAAAAAGACUUUCGUGGUGCAUAUGGAUGUUUAUAUUCAUAACUCAUAACACAAUUACGGACAAAAAUAUUCAGAACCCGUGAGAAGCGUGAAGCGACACGUCUCCUUUUCUGGUGUCUUUGCUUUCUGUCGUUGUUGAAGUGGCUCAAAAGCGUUGCUUGCGUGUGUGUAAGACUUUCGGAAGAGAAUGUCUACAAGAAACAAUGAAUGACCUUCUGCACUGUGCUUGAUUGUGGGGUGUAUGGAACCUAAUUUCACUCAUUAAGGGUGUCAUGGUAAUUUCAUAUAGAUCAUUAAGGGUGUUAUGGUAAUUUCAAACAGAAAAUUGGGUGUUAGUUAGAAUUGAUUGGGUGCAGGAGAGUCAGCUUUGUGUAGCAAUAAAAAGUCACAAAGAAAUCUAUUCAACUCUAAAAGGUUGUGAUAUUUAACACCACAAAGAGUAAAAAACAUUCACAAAUUAAUAAAAUAAUAUUUUAAUCAUAUUUAAUUUAUUUUUAUUUUUAAAUAUUAUUAUAUUAUUAUAAUGAGAUGUUAAGUAUACGUUUUUACAUGGUGUCAAAAAAUUAUUUUCCUAUUCUAAAAGAACUUAGACAAAUGUCUUAUUAUAAUAAAACUAAUAAUGUGGAAAAUAUUUUAAAAAACACUAAUAAAAGAAAUAAGUUUAUUUUUCAAAUUGAAGUCAAAUUAAGAUUAAAACAAUCUUAAAAUUUAAUUAUAUUGACUAAAAAGUUAAUAAAAACAAAACAAUAUUUACAAGAUAUUUUUAAAUAUCUUUAAAAUAAUAACUGCAAAUUUGUUUCCCCUGUUUUGUGUCAGCGGUUUGUUAUAAGAUAAGGAUGAAAAUCUUAAUUGCAUAUUUUCACCUCACCGCGUAAUAUAAGCUGUCAAUCUUGACCCUCCCUUUCUAUAUAUACCCGAAGAUCUUAUUGAGUUUAUCAUAUUGAGUUUUGUUGGUAUUGGUUCCGUGAUUGAGUUUUGUUAGUACUGAUUGGGGGUGAUUGUUGUGCUUCUUAUUAUCAAGUCUCCGUGGUUUCGUCGAAUUAUAUCAUGUUUGCUAUCAUCGAUGUGGUUUUGAUGUGGUUUUGUCGGAUUGAAGAAUGCAAGAAUCUUUUAUAGGAUUGAAGAACGCCAAUUCUGAAUAUGAUUCUUUAUGUGAUGAUGACAAGUUUUGAAUCUUUUGAUCAAAUUCCUUUAUCCCUUUUCUGCUGGUGACGGGGUCUUUGAGUAUUUUCUUCUACUUUCCUUUCUAUUAUUUGAUUUAUCUGGUAUUGAUCACGAAAAUAAGGAUUGGACUAUGAUUUGUUUAUCUGCAGUGGUGUAACACGUUUCUUAGUUAGUUUUCUUGAUUUUUGGGCUGUACAGGGAAGACACGCAAUGGAUGUGAAAUGAAGUAUUAUGUUUUCUUGACUUCUUAUGGGUUUAUUCGUGACUGAUUAUUGGAUUUCGUAGCCUAACUUGGUGUUUAUGUUCACUCCCCUUCAGCAAUUCGAGUUUCUGAGAUUUGAAACCCUAAAAAGUUUGAAACGGUUGCAGCUCAGGACAUCCCAAUUCUCUCUAUCUAUUGUUUAAUUUCUCUCUACUUUAUCUCCAAGGAUUGAAUUGUGUUCGACGUUUGAAUUAUUUUCCCUUAAUGUUAUGAGGCCCCAAGGGUUGAAUUGGUGUUUGAAUUAUUUUUUUCGCUUAAUGUCCUGCAGAGUAUGUUAUGAGACAUAAGGGCUGAAUUGUGAUUUGUUUCCUGUUUGGAUGAUUUGCAUAGCAUCUUAUAGAAUAUGAAUGGUUUGGUUUUCGCACGGUUCUCGCGAGUAUGUUAUAGCCACCAUUCUUCCUUGGUUUUUAAGUCUUCAAUUUAUCUUAUCGUUCUAUACUUCAUCCUCGAUUACCAGUUAUACUUUGUUGAAUUAUUGUUCUUUACAGGGAUGAGUGGGGAUAAGACAGGGAUGUGUGGGUAGGACGUUCCUCGUGGUUGGUUGAAAAUGGUGGAUGAGCCAUGCUCGACGGUAUGAAAAACACAACGACAAUGGGCUCGACAUAACCGAAGUCUUUUUUGAGUUUUCCUUCUAUUUUUCUUCAACAUAAGGAUAUGAUUUGUUUAUCUGCAGUGGUGUUUUGAACCUUUUGCGUAAAUUUCUUUGCUCCUUUUCAGUUGGUGGCCGAUUCUCUGGCGUUUCUUUAGCUUUUGGAUGAUUUGAAAACUAGAACGACCAAGAGCUAGGCAUAACCUAAGUCUUUGUUGAGUUUCCCUUCUUUAACUUUUUUUUCUGCUAUUGAUCACAGUACAUAAGGAUUGAACUAUGAUUUGUUUAUCUGCAGUGGUGUUUGGAUUAGUUGGGUAACGACACAUACUCAUCUUAUCAUGUUCCUAUAACUAGUAAAUUCAUUUACUGAAUUUUGAGUAUAAUUGUCUAUUUGAGUAUGACGAGUUUUAUACCUUUUGCGUAAAUUUCUUUUCAGCUGGUGGCUGGUUUUUUGGUAUUUCUUUUGCCUAUGGAUGAUAUGGAAAGCACAACGACCAAGGGCUCGACAUAACCUUAAGUCUUUUUUUAGUUUCCCUUCUAUUUUUGUUAUGGUAUUGCAUAAGGAUUGAACUAUGAUUUGUUUAUCUGCAGUGGUGUUUGGAUUAGUUGGGUAACGUCACAUAUUAAUCUUAUCAAGUUUCUAUAAUUAGUAAAUUCAUUUAUGUCUAUAUGAGAAUGACGAGUUUUGAACCUUCUGCGUAAAUUUCUUUGCACCUUUUCAGCUGGAGUUCUCUGUCAUUUCUUUCUCCUAUGGAUGAUAUGAAAAGCAGAAGGACCAAGGGGCUCGACAUAACCUAAGUCUUUUUUGACUUUUUUUUUCUAUUUUUCUUUUUCCUGGUAUUGAUGACAGUACAUAAGGAUUGAACUAUAAUUUGGUUAUCUGCAGUGGUGUUAGGAUUAGUUGGAUAACGACGCAUAUUCAUCUUACAAGUUGCUAUAACUAGUAAAUUCAUUUAUGUGAAUUUUGAGUAUAAUUCUCUAUUUGAGUUUGACAAGUUUUAAACCUUUUGCGUAAAUUUAGUUUCAGCUGGUGGCUGGUUUUUUUGCCUUUCUGUUGCCUAUGGAUGAUAUGAAAAGCACAAUGACCAACGGGCUCGUCAUAACCUAAGUCUUUUUUGAGUUUUCCUUCUUUUUUUCUUUUUCCUGGUAUUGUUCACAGUACAUAAGGAUUAAACUAUGGUUUUGUUUAUCUGCAGUGGUAUUUGGAUUAGAUGGGUAACAACGCAUAUUCAUCGUAUCAAGUUUCUAUAACUAGUAAAUUCAUUUACGUCAAUUUUGACUAUAGUUCUCUAUUUGAGUUGACACUAUAGUUCUUUAUUUGAGUAUGACGAGGAAAAUUACUUAAAUUUCUUUUCAGCUGAUCAAGGGCUCAACAUAACCUUAAAUCUUUUUUGACUUUCCCUUUUAUUAUUUUUUUUAGGUAUUACAUAAGGAUUGAACUAUGAUUUGUUUAUCUGCAGUGGUGUUAUGAUUAGUUGGGUAACUUCACAGAUUCAUCUUAUCAAGUUUCUAUAAUUCAUUUAGGUGAAUUCUGAGUAUAAUUCACUAUUUGAGGAUGAUGAGUUUUGAACAUUUUGUGUAAAUUUCUUUGCAUAUUUUCAGUUAUUGGCUGGUUCUCUGGCAUUUCUUUUGCCUAUGAAUGAUAUGAGAAGCACAACGACCAAGGGGCUCAACAUAACCUAAGUCUUUUUUGAGUUUUCCUUAUAUUUUUCUUUUUACUAGUAAUAAUAACAGUACAUAAAGAUUGAACUAUGAUUUGUUUAUCUGCAGUGGUGUUUGGACUAGUUGGGUAACGACGCAGAUUCAUUUUAUCAAGUUUCUAUAACUAGUAAAUUCAUUUACGUGAAUUUUGAGUAAAAUUCUCUAUUUGAGUAUGACGAGGUUUAAACCUUAUGCGUAAAUUUCUUUUCAGCUGGUGGCUGGUUUUUUGGCAUUUCUUUUGCCUAUGGAUGAUAUGCAAAGCACAACGACCAAGGGCUCGAUAUAACCUUAAGUCUUUUUUGAGUUUCCCUUAUAUUAUUCGUUAAUGGUUUUACAUAAGGAUUGAACUAUGAUUUGUUUAUCUGCAGUGGUGUUUUGGAUUAGUUGGGUAACGUCGCAUAUUCCUCUUAUCAAGUUUCUAUAGUUAGUAAAUUCAUUUAUGUCUAUAUGAGGAUGACAAGUUUUGAACCUUCUGCGUAAAUUUCUUUGCACCUUUUCAGCUGGCGUUCUCUAGCAUUUCUUUCUCCUAUGGAUGAUAUGAAAAGCAGAAGGACCAAGGGGCUCAACAUAACCUAAGUCUUUUUUGAGUUUUUUUUUCUAUUUUUCUUUUUCCUGGUAUUGAUGACAGAACAUAAGGAUUGAACUAUGAUUUGUUUAUCUGCAGUGGUGUUUGGAUUAGUUGGAUAACGACGCAUAUUCAUCUUACAAGUUUCUAUAACUAGUAAAUUCAUUUACGUGAAUUUUGAGUAUAAUUCUCCAUUUGAGUGUGACGAGUUUUAAACCCUUUUUGUAAAUUUACUUUCAGCUGGUGCCUGGUUUUUUGGCCUUUCUGUUGCCUAUGGAUGAUAUGAAAAGCACAACAACCAAGGGCUCGACAAAACCUUAAGUCUUUUUUGAGUUUCCUUCUAUUUUUUUAUGGUACUACAUAAGAAUUGAACUAUAAUUUGUUUAUCUGCAGUGGUGUUUGGAUUUGUAUAACGUCACAUAUUCAUCUUAUCAAGUUUCUAUAAUUAGUAAAUUCAUUUAGGUCUAUAUGAGGAUGACGAGUUUUGAACCUUUUGCGUUAAUUUCUUUGCACCUUUUCAGCUGGAGUUGAGUUGUGAACUUGUUUGGAAGUUUUGCAUGUAAUCUCCUUUGAGCCUAGACUGCAAUGUCUCUUAUGCUGAAAUCUUUGAAAUCAGAAUAAUGAACCGGAGUGACAACAAUGCUCUAACGCUGAAAUUUUUGAAAUCAGUAUAAUAAUGAUCCUGAAAUUGUUUAAAUGCUUCACUUUUGUUUCAACAAUCUCCAUUUAUGUUUCUCAUUCUUCGAGUUUUGAAAUCAGCAUUUAUUUGUUUGCAGCACAUUUUGUCUUUAUUUGAGGUUUCUCUUUCAGAUUGUUAACUCAACCAGUGAUGGAAUAUAGUGGGACGGCUAACAUGUCUUAUCAACAAGUUUGAGUGUUUAUCCAAAACCAUUCCAUUCAUUUCUUUUUCAUAUUUGUACAAUUUGGAAAAGGAUUGUAUCCGAGAAAGAUAAUGGAGUUUUGGAGGUGAAUUUGUUAAUUUUAAUCAGAUUGACGAACGUCUCUUGGACAGGAUUUCGUCUCUAUUUGAUAUUUUCAGAUUUGAUCACCAAACAUAUGGAUUUUCUGUUGUCAUUUGUUUUUGUGCAGUGAUAUUUGCAUAAUGUUUCAUGCUACGUCUAAUCAAUCAUGUUGUUUGGAAGUUUGUAUGACUCUUGAUAACAGGCUUUACAAGAGUUUGGGAGGAUUAGUAAUUUCAGAGGUGAUACCUAUUAUCAUAUUUGUGUCUUGUAGUGUGAACUGUUCAAGUUUAUUCAUUUGCAAGAGGGAUCAAUUCUCCACUUUUGAUGCAGAAGAUUAGAUGGCUAACAUUAUUGUCCGUUCAUUUGAUCCAGCAAGAGCCCAUUCUAGAAAUGUGGUCUUCUCUUUAAAGGCCUUUAGUAUUUUACUAUCAUAAAUAGAUAUUAUUUCUGGUUCUAUUGUUUUGACUGAGAGGAAGUCACAAGUCUUGUUGAUAUAUGAUGAUCUCUUAUCAUUUCCCCUUAAUUCUUGGUUGUUGUUUUGACAGGGUAGGGUUUGGGGAGUCUGGGUUUUUGGAUUAGGAAUUGUCCAACCACCAACAAUGUGUGUACAAGUUUGAAAUAUAUGAAUGAAGGCUGUCAAGGAAAAUGAUUACAGCAAUGAAGGCUAAAAAAAAAAUUGCGGAAGCAGAGUCUCCUAGAUCAGGAUAUAUAUAUGCUAGAGUGGAAAGAAAUAGAUGAAAUAUAUUUCUGAGAUAUCUUACAAAUGUGAUUACAGUCUCUAUUUAUAGACUGUUUUACAACCUAAUUAAAGAAAGAAAUAAUAGGUGAUGAAAGCCAGAAAUAAAUAAUGAGUGUUUAAAGCUGUACAAAUCAAAUAAAAUAAAAUCACUAACAAAUCUGUACUAAUAAAUAUAAAAUGGAAUCUGCACUUAAUUAUAACAUAAUUCUCCUGAUUAUGCAACAGU
Molecule: long non-coding RNA, 38787 nt
Filed under: Phaseolus vulgaris (common bean)
Lineage: Eukaryota; Viridiplantae; Streptophyta; Magnoliopsida; Fabales; Fabaceae
Description: long non-coding RNA (PVUL_LNC004094)
Source: RNAcentral